This 301-nucleotide ribosomal RNA is filed under the name uncultured bacterium. Its description in RNAcentral is "partial 16S ribosomal RNA". It matches the Rfam family "Bacterial small subunit ribosomal RNA", at positions 509 to 807 of the family's 1533-position model. The record is from RNAcentral.
CAGCAGCCGCGGUAAUACGUAGGGUGCGAGCGUUAAUCGGAAUUACUGGGCGUAAAGCGUGCGCAGGCGGUUCGUUAAGACAGAUGUGAAAUCCCCGGGCUUAACCUGGGAACUGCAUUUGUGACUGGCGAGCUAGAGUAUGGCAGAGGGGGGUAGAAUUCCACGUGUAGCAGUGAAAUGCGUAGAGAUGUGGAGGAAUACCGAUGGCGAAGGCAGCCCCCUGGGCCAAUACUGACGCUCAUGCACGAAAGCGUGGGGAGCAAACAGGAUUAGAUACCCGCGUAGUCCCUGUCUCUUAUAC